Molecule: long non-coding RNA, 2590 nt
Organism: Heterocephalus glaber (naked mole-rat)
Lineage: Eukaryota; Metazoa; Chordata; Mammalia; Rodentia; Bathyergidae
Source: Ensembl
CGCCGGGCCAAGGCAUAAACAAGUGGCCCGGGCUGGGUGUGGCGGGACCGCGCUCGCCUAGGUGCUUGGGCGCUGCACGCGCUGGAUGCUUAUAGGUGUCCCAGAGAGCCCUUGGGGCCCGCGUGGGUGAGGGCCUGCUCGAGCCUCGGGAGAGUUGCAUUUCUCCGGAGAAGAGCGGGAAAAGGGCCAGGACAGCCCUCUUUGCUUUGCAGAAUGCUUGAGCAAAAAUCCAUUCCUUGGAGAACCACACUGGCUUCAAGUUACCAACCCUUCACACUUAUUAGGGCCAUCUAGGGGAAACAGCCCUAGAAGAGGCGGCGGCUUUAACGUCAGAACACUUGGAUUCAUUUCCUGUGCUGCUGUUUCCCAGCUGUAACAAGGCUUUAAAUCCUUCCCAGCCUCAUUUUCUUCCUCUGAAAUGGGCACAAUACUGAAAUGAGGAAUCGAGGAGAUACAGUAUGGAAAACAUUUAGGAACGGUCCCUAAAGAGCGGAUGACCCCUAGCAUGAGACUCAGACGAGAAGCGGGGAGAGGAGUCAGAGAGUGAGACAAGAUCCAACUUUGGCAUCUGAAGGUUUUUUGAAGGAGUGGACAUCAGACCAGGGUUUAAAAGAAAGGUGGGUGUUAAGAAAUAGAAAUGGGAGAGGUGGCUGGAAGCAGAAGGGCGUUCUAGGCCGAAAGAACCCAACGAGCAAGGCCCUGGAAGCGAGAAAAUUCGAGUGAGUUCUAGGAAUAACUUGUUUUGUCAGGGGAACCAAUCGGGUCACAAAGCAAGACCGCCUGUGGUGAAGGGGCCAGGUAUGUGAGCUGCCAACACGGUGGGUGCUGUCAGAAUUCCCAGAAGGCCCAGGAUUGCCCAAAGAAAGGCUGCUGCUAGCCAGCAUGGUGCCUUUGUAAGAAUUAUAAAAACGUUCCCUCAGACCGGAGCCCAGCCUGUGUUCCGCCGCCCACCUCUGAUCCUCUGGGGCCCUUGAAGCAAUGAGCAGGCUUUUUAGAACUAUAGGUCUUGGGCCAUCGAGACUAAUGAGAAAGGUAGGGGAAGCUAAGAGCCUUAGCUCCGUGUAUAGUUUGAAUACAGUUUUCUCUCAUCAUACCUACUCAGGAAAGAAAGUCUUCUCGCCCACAGCACAGAAAGACUUCUGAAUGCACUGAAAUUUGGGGCCUUUGAAAGGAGUCCCUGAAGUUCAUCCAUUGGAAUCUUCUUUGGCUUCCGCUCUGACGGCUCUAUGUGACAGCCUCCUGGCCAGUCUUCCUGUCUUUAGUGGCCGGCUAGUUUCAGAAUGGACACCCAGUUCCUCAUGGUGGCCCCCAUGGUCCUCUGCAGCCCUGGUCGCUCCAGUUACUGUGUCCUCCAGUGUCGUGAAACACAAGAGGUUUCUCCCCAUGCUUUGUCUCCUCUCCCUGUGCGCAGGCAGCUUCUCCCUCCCGUGUUGGUCAUUCCCAUUGGCCCUUCUCUGUCUGGACCCCUACCUGCCACUCCUGAGCUGGACCUCUGGCUUCCUGCUGUAUUUGAUCACAGUGAGCUGGACUCAGAGAAGGGAGAAGGACCCUUCCUGCCUGCCCGGGCCACAACCCCAACCUGUGCCGUGUGACCUGGCUCAUCCUGUGUGUGAGAAAGGGCUCCCUCCCCUUGCUCCUCACACCUGAAGGAGGUGACUGUCACCGGCCCCCAGGUACAUCACCUGCUCCUGUGUCUGCCCUCUGCCUCGGUAAUUCUCCCUCGAAGGAGCUGCCAGUUCCUGCCAGGAUCCCAGCUGCCUGAACAGCCCGGGCUGCCCGCUGUGAGCCGCUCGCUGCAAACCCUCCUGCAGGCACAGAUGCACCCUUGAUUGGACCUCCCUCCCCUGAGCCAGUCAGAUUCUGAGCGAUCCAAGCUUCACACGUUUGCAGGACUCCGGGAAGCACUGUUGAAACUGCCGUGCUCCAGGACACACAGCUUACUUAGAACCCAGCCUCUCAUGUGCCCUAGGCCUGUGUGACAGGGUCAGACCGUGUUGGUCCCUGAGGUCACGCGAAGUUGCAUGCGGCAGUGGCCUCAGCACCCUGGACAGCAGAGGGUCAGCACCUAAGAGUCCUGCUGGGGAGAAACACCUGCCCAGACAAGGGGAUGGACAGGCCACAAGGGACACAGGCCCCUGAGGAAGAAGGAGAGCUGCAGGACGACAGCCCAGUGCCCUUGAGUUCUGCCUGUGCUUUCUGUGUCCAUCUGGAAGAUGCUUCUGUAUCUUUGCAAUACGUUUCUCUCUCACUGUCACAGGCUUCUGUCCUUGACAACCAAGUGAAGCUAGAUCAGGCCCCAAAGGUUUUUCUUCUUCGUCUUCACCUGGAUCACACCUCUCCUUCUCCCAGACACCUCCACUGUGAGCCCCGGUGGGGAAGUCUUCCCAGGACCGCCAGGAUAGCAUGGGGACCCCUGCCCUGAGCUCUUCCUUCAACCUGCUCAGGUUGUGUGUAAGGGCCUGCCUCCCACCCAACUCUCAAGUGUUCUGCUGCCCCCAGGUGGUGACAUGGGCAGGAGGCCCCUUGAAACAUCUCUGGUUCAAGGUCAAAGCCCCAAGCAGCACAGGCAUUGAACUAUCACACAGUAUCC